This 406-nucleotide ribosomal RNA is filed under the name uncultured bacterium. RNAcentral describes it as "partial 16S ribosomal RNA". It matches the Rfam family "Bacterial small subunit ribosomal RNA", at positions 28 to 526 of the family's 1533-position model. The record is from RNAcentral.
GAUGAACGCUAGCUACAGGCUUAACACAUGCAAGUCGAGGGCCCGGCGCACGGGUGAAUAACACGUAUCCAACCUUCCCUUUACUCGGGGAUAGCCUUUCGCAAGAACGAUUAAUACCCGAUAUAAAGGAUGGGGAUGCGUUGCAUUAGGGGGGUGGUGAGGUAACGGCCCACCAAGCCUUCGAUGGAUAGGGGUUCUGAGAGGAAGGGCCCCCAAAUUGGAACUGAGACACGGUCCAAACGCCUAGGGGAGGCAGCAGUGAGGAAUAUUGGUAAAUGGGCGUUAGCCUGAACCAGCCAAGUAGCGUGAAGGAUGAAGGCUUAUGGGUCGUAAACUUCUUUUAUAGAAGAAUAUGUAUUAUAUGAAUAAGGAUCGGCUAACUCCGUGCCAGCCGCCGCGGUAAUUC